RNAcentral lists this long non-coding RNA (1091 nucleotides) under Parus major (Great Tit). Its description in RNAcentral is "lncRNA (ENSPMJG00000002267.1)". Lineage: Eukaryota; Metazoa; Chordata; Aves; Passeriformes; Paridae. The record is from RNAcentral.
CUUCGUGUCAGAAACCAGAGUGAAGCUUGUGCUGACCCGGCAGGACAGAAGGAGAAGCCUGAGGGAACAGGAAAUAGAGUAAUUCAGCGCUCAGUGCUCUUUGACCUUCACCCAGUGUACAACAAUGUGAUUUACAAAUCGUAAUGAAGUUUCCAGGACCAGAAGUGUUAAUCAGUAUGCAGUUGAGGGUCCAUAAAAUUCACUUAACUAGAAUGCAAGAUCAGAUGAGAGCUCCGAGGCUGAGCCUUGACUUGUUGACUGCAGCGAAGUGGCUUUGUCAGUCACUGCUACCGAGUCCUGAACUGUCAGGAGAGGGCGCAGCCUUCCCAAAAGUCUCCGAUGGAAAAGGUGCUGUGGUGUGUGAGGAUGAUUCAGAAAGGUUCUCCCAAAACCCUGCGUGGUCUGGAGGCUCAGACUCUCCUCCUGGUCUGGGAAUUGAGAACAGCGGAAAGAACCUGCUAUGUUCGACAUCUAUAUCCUUCAUAAAAUUUAGUCAUUUGUAAUUCUCAGAAAAAUUGGGUAUGUAGCAUUUAUAGAGAAGAAAUUUAGGUUUUAUUUCUCAUUUUGAAGACUACAACAUGGCUCCUGAAUGUAAAUUUUAGUUUUAUAUAAGCUGUACCAUAUAUUGUGUAGUGUGAUGCAGAAAAUCUUCUGAAAGAUGUUGUACUGCUGGUAGUGGAUAGUGCAGUUCUUUUUCUUUUUUUCUUUUUAAUUUCAAAAAUACACACAUUGCAACAUGGCUCCUGGCAGUGCAAGCUUUUCUGGCUUCCCCACUGAGUGAGGAAGAAACUUGCAAUAAUCAAAGGCUAGAUGAGUCUCCAAAAUUCAGGCAGUGUGCUUUCCUCUCUGCUGUGUCUGGCAAUGCUGCUGAUCAGAAACUAGAUAGUCAGUGUCCUGAGAAAUUACCAUCCUUGGUUUUCCUUUUUUUUUUUUUUUUUUAAUUCACAAUCAGAUCAGACAUUGAAUGAUUUUAUAUUAUCCAUAGAAUUAAUUUUAAAUGGUCUUUUUACCUACCAAAUAGUUCAAUUUCUUUAAUGUCAGAUGCAUUGAUUUCUGGUAUUGGCUCCGUCCUUGUCCAAGUGCUCUUCAAC